UCUGGGUCUUAGGAUGACGGCACUC
RNAcentral lists this microRNA (25 nucleotides) under Equus caballus (horse). Its description in RNAcentral is "eca-miR-8968". The record is from miRBase by way of RNAcentral. Lineage: Eukaryota; Metazoa; Chordata; Mammalia; Perissodactyla; Equidae.